RNAcentral lists this ribosomal RNA (488 nucleotides) under uncultured bacterium. Its description in RNAcentral is "partial 16S ribosomal RNA". It matches the Rfam family "Bacterial small subunit ribosomal RNA", at positions 28 to 507 of the family's 1533-position model. The record is from RNAcentral.
GAUGAACGCUAGCGGCAGGCCUAAUACAUGCAAGUCGGACGGGAUCCAUUGAUAGCUUGCUAUCAAUGGUGAGAGUGGCGCACGGGUGCGUAACGCGUGAGCAACCUGCCUCCAUCAGGGGGAUAGCCUCUCGAAAGAGAGAUUAACACCGCAUAAUAUCAACAGUUCGCAUGUUCAGUUGAUUAAAUAUUUAUAGGAUGGAGAUGGGCUCGCGUGACAUUAGCUAGUUGGUAGGGUAACGGCUUACCAAGGCGACGAUGUCUAGGGGCUCUGAGAGGAGAAUCCCCCACAGUGGGACUGGGACACGGACCAGACUCCUACGGGAGGCAGCAGUAAGGAAUAUUGGUCAAGGGGCGGAAGCCUGAACCAGCCAUGCCGCGUGCAGGAUGACUGCCCUAUGGGUUGUAAACUGCUUUUGUCCAGGAAUAAACCUAAAUACGAGUAUUUAGCUGAAGGUACUGGAAGAAUAAGGAUCGGCUAACUCCGUG